UCCUUCCUGCCUUAGUUAUGUGGAUAUAGUGCCUGACUUCCACACAGGAGGUCCAGAGUUCGAGUCUCCAGGUGGAGU
This is a non-coding RNA of Halocaridina rubra (Hawaiian volcano shrimp), 78 nucleotides long. Lineage: Eukaryota; Metazoa; Arthropoda; Malacostraca; Decapoda; Atyidae. The record is from the annotation of a GenBank genome assembly.